AUGGAGAGCAUGAUGGAGGAGGAAGAAGGGAUGAUGAUGGCGGUGGCGCAGCGGAUGAUGGUGAUGGUGGCGUGGCUAUGGUGGUCCUUUGGCAGCGGUUCCCUUUUGGUCUACUUCAUGGUUGCAACUAUGAGCUCUAGAGAUGCUAAAAUAUGGAGCCAUAGUGAUGAUGGUGAAGCCCCAUUGAUUCAGAGUUGGGGCGGCGUAUUCCUUGGAUUGAUUCCCCCUUUGGAUGCCUUGCGAAGGCUAGGGUUCUGUAGAUGUGUUUCUGGAGACUAUGGGCGUCUGAUGCCCGAUCCGACUCCACAAAGGGUGAAUCAUUGUCCCCUUCCGUUAUUCACCCACCACGUCCAUGUCAUGGCGUGCAUCACCUACCUUCAUGUGGGCCCUAUAGUUGUGCUUCUCACAUACGAGCCCUACCUUCAGAUCUGCCUGGAGGCCCUAACCCUAAGGAUUCCUCCCCAUUGGAGCGUAGCACAUAAGAUCCAAAAGAGAGGGUCCGGUGUUUGCUUGAGGUGGGAGAAAGGAUUUGAAGAGGUAGGGUCAGUGAUAGGAAUGAGGACUAAGAAAGGUGGAACCGAGGUUGGCGGCGGUGGAGGCCGAUUGUUUCACAUGUUCAGCUACAGGGGAAAAUCCCUAAAGAUGUUAUUCUCUAGAUCUCUGGAUGAUGUUAUGCUUCUCAAGAGAAGCAACAAAACCAUACAAUCUAGCCGCCUCCAUUUGAACGACAAAGUUGAGGAGACUGGUGUGUCAAGCAUACAAGAGAGAAACACUUAUAUUUGUGCAUCCUCGCCCAAUGAGGAUAGGCGUGUGAUGACGACACCAGGAGUAGUGGCUAAGCUUAUGGGUUUGGAUGCCAUCCCAUGUCCAGGUGUCACAAAAUCUAUUAACACCCCAUCCCAUGAUAGCUACGACAUCAAUAGGAUCCCAGAGUACUCUAACGACAACAUGCUCAAGCCAUUGGAUUCAAGAGUUAAAAGCAUGCCAAGAGGCCAUGUUAAAAGAUUGCAGAUAGAAUCAUUGCCAUCAAGAUCCAGUUCAAUGGGAAACAUAACUCAAAUCAUGGAGGUGGCUCCCAAGAUUCUAGAGCCCAAGCCACAAGUGAAUUCUAUAGAGAAAACCAUUUCUUCAGGGAUCCCUUUCAAGGCUUCUAAGUCAAGGAGGAUUGUUGCAACUUCUCAAAGGAUGCUACCUCAACAACCACAAUCAUCCAAGAUCAAGGUCAAGCUAACAGAAGGGAGACUAUUUAGAGAGCAACACAUGAACCAGCAUUCGAACUGCAAUGAGGACAUUGUGACACCUUCAAUUGAUUUUUGUGAGACUAAGAAACCAAGUUGUUCUAGGAGCAAUAAAAGGAAGUCUGCUUAUGUGGUACCCCAUGCAGAGUUCACCAUGCAAAAGAGGGAAGGUAUGGGUGCUUCUAGAAGGAAUUCAGGACGACAUAAACAUUAUAGAUCUCAACAAUAUAAUGUGUCUAGAUCAAACCAACAUUUGAUGAUUCAGUCCAAACACAAGACAAACAAACAACAAACAAAGUCAUCAUCAUAUGGUACUAUUACCUCUGUUCUUCAGAAGAACAACCAGAAACAAAAUUCUUUGGUGGGCAAGGGAAAGUUAGUACCAAACAAAAAAAUCUCAACCCAACAAGCUAUAAAGGUGAUUGAAGGUGAUUCCUCUUAUAGGACAAUGGGGAAUGGAAGAAAGGUCAUUGUGGAAAGAUUAAGUGGUAAUUGGAAAGAACCAACAUCAAAGAGGAACUCCACAUAUGAAAAGGUACCAUUCAUGAGCAAAAAAGCAAUAGACACACUCCAAAAGCAGGUUCAGCCUAAUGUUGCUAUGGAUGAGAACAUAAAGUGGAACAAUCAUGGUAAAGACACUGUAGAUGUUGUGUUGUGCACCAACACCUCAUCCUUGGUUAAACCAUUAGCAAAUAAUUCAGAUACAAGAGCUGAUUUUUCUUUCAAUGACAUAACAGAGAAGAGUUAUUGGAAGAAAAAUGUGGAAGGGUCGUCAGUAGGGCUAAACUAUGUUAGUGGUGAUUCAUUAGGCAUUUUGUUAGAAAGUAAAAUGAAGGAGAUAACAUUGAAUGACAAUCCGUCCAUCGAUUACACAAGGGGUGACUACUUUGUGAAGACUCCUUUUACCUUGGACGAAGAACAAGUGUCCCCUUUUAGCAGUUGGGAUGUGGAAAGUGAAGUAUUCGAAUUUAGCCCUUGUACAAUAAAACCUUCACUAUAUGUUGACGACUGCCAGUCGGUCCAAUCUUCAACGAAAGGACAACUUCUCCAAUGGAGUAAACCACAGAAUCAUGACAGCGCACCAACUAUGCAUAUGCGUAUUGAACCAUAUGGUUUCCUGUACGUCUGUGAUAGUGGGGAAAUAUUAGUGGUGUGGGAAAGCCAUGUCAUAGUUGAUUUAUGCCUUGGAUUGUGGUUUUUUUUACACUCCAAUGUGCAUGACCUUGACAUUAUUCAGGAACCAGAAAACUGCAUCAGUCCAAACAAUGGAAGGAAAGAUGGGGAUGGUGAAGAUCUAAAUCCCCUCUCUGUAUUCCACCCACCAUUUAUGAGUGAGAGUUGUUCGUCUUCCCAGUGCCCAAGUAGCAGUAAUGAAUGGAAGAAACCUCUGGACGACUGCGUGUAUAGACGGUUGUUGUUUGACUGCGUGAACGAAUGCUUCGAGAUGAGGCGUCUCACUUACUCUUCGGAAGGGUAUGUAGCAUGGAGCAAAGGGAUGACAGCAGCGAGCAGAUGCCUAGAAACUGUAGUCUACAGUGAGAUCAAUGUCUGGAAGAGUAUGGGAGAGAGAACGCAUGGUGAGCUUGUGGAGAAGGACAUCACCACUGGCUUGAGCAAAAAGGAGCUUGUGGAGGGCAUUGUGCAUCACAAUGAUGCAGAGACCAUGAGUUUCAACCUCUCUCUUGACAAAUAUUUAAAUUGGCUUGUGGAGAACAACAUGAGCAGUGAACUGGGCAAGUGGAAUGAUUUCUGCGCGGAGGGGUUAGAGGUCGGCGAGGAGGUGGAGAGGGACAUACUUAGCUCGCUGAUGGACGAGGUGAUUGAUGACAUCUGCGCGGGAUGGCAUUAG
RNAcentral lists this ribosomal RNA (3087 nucleotides) under Triticum aestivum (bread wheat). RNAcentral describes it as "partial small subunit ribosomal RNA". Lineage: Eukaryota; Viridiplantae; Streptophyta; Magnoliopsida; Poales; Poaceae. The record is from RNAcentral.